GACGAACGCUGGCGGCGUGCUUAACACAUGCAAGUCGAACGGAAAGGCCCUGCUUUUGUGGGGUGCUCGAGUGGCGAACGGGUGAGUAACACGUGAGUAACCUGCCCUUGACUUUGGGAUAACUUCAGGAAACUGGGGCUAAUACCGGAUAGGAGCUCCUGCUGCAUGGUGGGGGUUGGAAAGUUUCGGCGGUUGGGGAUGGACUCGCGGCUUAUCAGCUUGUUGGUGGGGUAGUGGAUUACCAAGGCUUUGACGGGUAGCCGGCCUGGGAGGGUGACCGGCCACAUUGGGACUGCGGUACGGCCCAGACUCCUACGGGAGGCAGCAGUGGGGAAUAUUGCACAAUGGGCGGAAGCCUGAUGCAGCAACUCCGCGUGCGGGAUGACGGCCUUCGGGUUGUAAACCGCUUUCGCCUGUGACGAAGCGUGAGUGACGGUAAUGGGUAAAGAAGCACCGGCUAACUACGUG
RNAcentral lists this ribosomal RNA (468 nucleotides) under uncultured bacterium. RNAcentral's name for it is "partial 16S ribosomal RNA". It matches the Rfam family "Bacterial small subunit ribosomal RNA", at positions 28 to 507 of the family's 1533-position model. The record is from RNAcentral.